Molecule: long non-coding RNA, 1326 nt
Organism: Ruditapes philippinarum (Manila clam)
Lineage: Eukaryota; Metazoa; Mollusca; Bivalvia; Venerida; Veneridae
Exons: 3
Source: RefSeq, a predicted model, not a curated record
UUUAUUGACAAGUACACUGUACAAUAAGUUUAUGGACAAGUUCAAUGUACACUAAGUUUAUGGACAAGUACACUGUACAAUAAGUUUAUGGAUAAAUACAAUGUACAAUAAGUUUAUGGACAAGUACCCUGUACAAUAAGUUUAUGGACAAAUACAGUGUACACUAAGUUUAUGGACAAGUACACUGCACAAUAUGUUUAUGGACAAGUACACUGUACACUAAGUUUAUGGACAAGUACACCAUAUAAUAAGUUUAUAAACAACAUAAUUUAUGGGUAAUGAGGUUUAUUGAAAAAUAUAGUUUAUGGACAAGAAAAUGAUACUUGAACAAACAAUAGCUUUAUAGAACAGUUUAUGUACAAGAUAUCUAAUGUAAAUAUCAUCAAGAACAAAAAGUUUAUAAAGUAAGACUAUAUGUAUAAUUUACUGACAGGGACAAAAUGGUUAUGAACAAGACUUUAAGAUUAACAAAACUUUAACUAGCAAGAACAAAAAGUUUAUGAAUAAAACUUAAAGGUUUACUGGCAAAUUUAGAAGACUAUAAGAUUUCCUGGCAAGAACAAAAUGAUCAUGAACAAGACUACAGUGGUAUAAGACUUACUGGCAACAUAAGGCAUAUGAACAAAUUCAUAAGAUUUACUGGCAAUGACAAAAUGUUUAUGAACAAGUCUGUUGACUUUAAGAUUUUUCUGAAAAUACAAAAAGUUUUAGUCCAUACAUUCAUAUAUUGACAAUUACUUGAAGUGUUGUUAUCAAAGAUUACUUGUUCAAGUCAGCUGCUAAUACCUGUAUAUUGCAAAAAUCAAAUUAUGAAAUAUGUUUAAAACAGUUUGGCUCAAUUGGAGGCUUACUAGCAGCCAUCAAUUAAACCAGCUCGUGCAUAAUAAUGCAUUCUUGGACUUCAUUAUAUUACAUUCUGGCCAAGAUUUAUUCUUUAAUUAAGACAAGAUUUUGAAGUUGAGGUGACAAUAUGUUUGAAGGUAUACUAACUUAUAUACAUUAAUGAUAAUCUUUAUUUACUAAUCAGACUGCUCAGUAUAUAACCUGUAAGCAAAUAUAGCAUUUUGUGUAUAACAUUUAUUCUAGUCUGUAGAAGGCGUGGUUACAGGCCACUCCCACUUCCAUACAGGCCACUCCCAACUCCAUCAUGACAAUCAUCACCCGCAGGCCGUAUUUCAAACUGUUAAUAUUAACGAACCUAUAGAAGGCUUCUUGAAUAAAUGUAAAUUCAUAAAUGGCAAGAAACCAUCAAAAAAGUGGGCCAUGACAUAUGUGAAGCUCGGAGGCUCUAACCUAGUAUUCUUACAAAGACCAGAAAUCCUCUCA